GAUGAACGCUGACAGAAUGCUUAACACAUGCAAGUCUACUUGAACUUCGGUUUGGGUGGCGGCCGGGUGAGUAACGCGUAAAGAACUUGCCUCACAGUUAGGGACAACAUUUGGAAACGAAUGCUAAUACCUGAUAUUAUGAUUUUAGGGCAUCCUAGGAUUAUGAAAGCUAUAUGUGCUGUGAGAGAGCUUUGCGUCCCAUUAGCUAGUUGGAGAGGUAACGGCUCACCAAGGCGAUGAUGGGUAGCCGGCCUGGGAGGGUGAACGGCCACAAGGGGACUGAGACACGGCCCUUACUCCUACGGGAGGCAGCAGUGGGGAAUAUUGGACAAUGGACCAAAAGUCUGAUCCAGCAAUUCUGUGUGCAAGAUGACGUUUUUCGGAAUGUAAAGUGCUUUCAGUUGGGAAGAAAAAAAUGACGGUACCAACAGAAGAAGUGACGGCUAAAUACGUG
RNAcentral lists this ribosomal RNA (454 nucleotides) under uncultured bacterium. RNAcentral describes it as "partial 16S ribosomal RNA". It matches the Rfam family "Bacterial small subunit ribosomal RNA", at positions 28 to 507 of the family's 1533-position model. The record is from RNAcentral.